AAUAUUUUGGCAGAAAAAUGCAAUAGAUUUAGAAUCUAUAAAUACUAUUAAUUUCAGCUUCUAUUA
RNAcentral lists this transfer RNA (66 nucleotides) under Araneus angulatus. Its description in RNAcentral is "tRNA-Leu". Lineage: Eukaryota; Metazoa; Arthropoda; Arachnida; Araneae; Araneidae. The record is from RNAcentral.